CUACGGGGCGCUGCAGUGAGGAAUAUUGCGCAAUGGGGGAAACCCUGACGCAGCGACGCCGCGUGGAUGAUGAAGGCCUUAGGGUCGUAAAAUCCUGUCAGGUGGGAAGAAGUGGAUAUAGAUUAAUACUCUAUUUCUUUGACGGUACCACCAAAGGAAGCACCGGCUAACUCCGUGCCAGCAGCCGCGGUAAUACGGAGGGUGCAAACGUUGUUCGGAAUUACUGGGCGUAAAGCGCGCGUAGGCGGUUUGUUAAGUCAGAUGUGAAAGUCCAUGGCUCAACUAGGGAAGUGCAUUUGAAACUGGCAGGCUUGAGUACUGGAGGGGGUGAUGGAAUGCCCGGUGUAGAGGUGAAAUUCGUAGAUAUCGGGAGGAAUACCGGUGGCGAAGGCGAUCACCUGGCCAGAUACUGACGCUGAGGUGCGAAAGCGUGGGGAGCAAACAGGAUUAGAUACCCCUGUAGUC
RNAcentral lists this ribosomal RNA (465 nucleotides) under uncultured bacterium. RNAcentral describes it as "partial 16S ribosomal RNA". It matches the Rfam family "Bacterial small subunit ribosomal RNA", at positions 339 to 795 of the family's 1533-position model. The record is from RNAcentral.